This 325-nucleotide ribosomal RNA is filed under the name uncultured eukaryote. RNAcentral's name for it is "LSU rRNA". It matches the Rfam family "Bacterial large subunit ribosomal RNA", at positions 2154 to 2478 of the family's 2925-position model. The record is from RNAcentral.
GCUUGGAAGCCGGGGCGCCAGCCCUGGUGGAGCCACCCUUGAAAUACCACCCUGCGCCUUUCUGGCGUCUAACUGAGCCCGGUCAUCCCGGGCCAGGACCCUGCGUGGUGGGUAGUUUGACUGGGGCGGUCGCCUCCCAAAUGGUAACGGAGGCGCGCGAUGGUGGGCUCAGGCCGGUCGGACAUCGGCUGCUGAGUGCAAAGGCACAAGCCCGCCUGACUGCGAGCGCGACAGCGCGAGCAGAGACGAAAGUCGGCCUUAGUGAUCCGGUGGUCCCGCGUGGAAGGGCCAUCGCUCAACGGAUAAAAGGUACUCUAGGGAUAAC